CGGCUCAGUAACACGUGGAUAACCUACCCUCAGAUCUGGGAUAACUCCGGGAAACUGGAGAUAAUACCGGAUAAUCCGUGAACGCUGGAAUGCCUUACGGUUGAAAGCUUUAGCGUCUGAGGAUGGGUCUGCGGCCGAUUAGGUAGUUGCUGGGGUAACGUCCCAACAAGCCGAUAAUCGGUACGGGUUGUGAGAGCAAGAGCCCGGAGAUGGAUUCUGAGACACGAAUCCAGGUCCUACGGGGCGCAGCAGGCGCGAAAACUUUACACUGCGCGAAAGCGCGAUAAGGGGACCUCGAGUGCGUGCGCAAAGCGUACGCUUUUCAGAUGCCUAAAAAGCAUCUGGAAUAAGGGCCGGGCAAGACCGGUGCCAGCCGCCGCGGUAACACCGGCGGCUCAAGUGGUGGCCGCUAUUAUUGGGCUUAAAGGGUCCGUAGCCGGACCAGUUAGUCCCUUGGGAAAUCUUACGGCUUAACCGUAAGGCUGCCAAUGGAUACUGCUGGUCUUGGGACCGGGAGAGGCAAGAGGUACCUCAGGGGUAGGAGUGAAAUCCUGUAAUCCUUGAGGGACCGCCAGUGGC
This 579-nucleotide ribosomal RNA is filed under the name uncultured euryarchaeote. Its description in RNAcentral is "bacterial SSU rRNA". It matches the Rfam family "Archaeal small subunit ribosomal RNA", at positions 83 to 667 of the family's 1478-position model. The record is from RNAcentral. Lineage: Archaea; Methanobacteriati; Methanobacteriota.